CCCAGCAAAUUUCCUGCUUUGCUCCAAAUCUGCUAACAUUAGUCCCUGCCCUUAUUGCCACAGAGAGCUGGGAAAUCAACCACUCAGCCUUGAGCUAGAAAAAGACCAUUCUGGCUCCUGUUGCAGACUCUGCUCCCUGUUUCCAUUCCAGUACAGCACGUAAGGGUUACUUGCACUUGUUAAUCCUUCACAUCUGACUAAUAUCUGAAUGGGAAGGUUGCUAGCAACAUCCUUUCCAAAAUCACUUUGACCUGUGUAUUAUAUUAUGACGUGAAUGACUUGCAGAAGGAAGUAAUCAGAAUGUGUAUAGUUCUCGUUAGUGCUAAUUGCCUUUUCAUCUGUUUCUAGCUCUUUUUAUUGUGUCCAAUAAAUGUUGAUUAUGCAGGGAUUUAAAUCUGUAUUUCAACAUAGUUUCAUUCACGUGAUGUGACUGACACGACUCACUAAAUCUUAGUUCCAAAUAUUCCUCUAGCUCUGUGUCAAGCACUUCAAGGAUGUCAAAAGCAGAUAGGGAAAAUCUGAAGUGCCUGAUCUUAGCAAGAAUGCCUAAAAGGUCAGGUAGAGGACAUUGUUUCAGGAGGCCUCUGGUUUUGAUACUUUCUGGUUCAUAGAAACACGAAAACACAGCAUGUGUGCAUUGUAUGUGAAUGUUCUCCUUCUAGGGUAAUGUACAUAAGUACACAUACAGGAUAAAUCUUUCAAAUGCAUAAUUUUUUAUUGCUUCUGAUCUUAAGUGAGCAGUAUGGCAUGUCAUAAAGGAGUCCAGUUUCUGGAAAUAAGGAUCCCUUAAGGUUGCCUCAAGAGAGUCCAGAAUCACUGCAUCUGGAAGUUCUUGAUCACAGCAUCUUGAGAGGACCCACUGCAUCCCAGCUGAAAACGCCUCAGUGGGUGGAAGGUCUGUCUGUGAGGACAUGCAUUGUCAGUCUGUGCCUGUAUCCUCUGGGCUGGAGCCAGGAGCAGGGAUUAGAUGAACUCCUGAGCAGACCUGUCUAGCAUGGUGGAGCCUCGUGGACUCUUCUGCACAUGGAUAAAAGGUAAGGCAAUUUUUAAUAAUUUAAGAGUUUUUUAACUACAAAAGCGUAUUCUUAGGGCUAGGAAACACUUCCUUUUUGGUCUGCAGGGUCUGACACAGUAAAUUUUGUGCAGACACACUGUUACUAAUAGUGAUGGAUGCACAUAAAGCACUGUAC
Molecule: long non-coding RNA, 1190 nt
Filed under: Ficedula albicollis (Collared flycatcher)
Lineage: Eukaryota; Metazoa; Chordata; Aves; Passeriformes; Muscicapidae
Description: lncRNA (ENSFALG00000025600.1)
Source: RNAcentral